This 327-nucleotide unclassified non-coding RNA is filed under the name fungal sp. Its description in RNAcentral is "partial internal transcribed spacer region". The record is from RNAcentral. Lineage: Eukaryota; Fungi.
AAGUCGUUUUCAUCCUGCUCUUGUAACCCGCGUUGUUCGCAAUCUCUGAUAAAUCAUAGCCCGGAAAGUUGUAGUGAUUCAGAGACCUCUGGCUACGUGCGAACAUUGGAACAGUUACAAUCGAGCGGUAGUUCUAUAGGCAAUGUUUCCCCAAGCAGUCAGUGUCGGAAAGUGUCAUUGAUUGUGCAAGGAUAGCGCUUCUACGAUUCCUGUAGACCGUACACUCGGGCAGGAGCUUUGCCAAAGGGUCCCCAUGCCCCCUAAUAACCCCACAGUUUAAUGUGAAGCUCAAUGUAACAACUGUUAACAAUGGAUAUCUUGGUUCUC